AUGCCUUCUGCAAAGACGAAAUUCGUGUUGCAGGCCAUGGAAGGGGCGCAAAAAACUCUGGAGGAGCUGCUCCAAAAAAUUUCGUCCCUCUCCACCGAAGUCCAACAACUAGGCACUCAAUUGGCGGAUUUCGGCAAGGGCCUUGACACAGUCAAGCGCCAGCAGGCGACCUACGAGGUGGCGACUCGCACUGCAGCAUCGACAGCGGUCGGGACCGCGGUCCUCACCUACCAUGGGCCGCCUCUCCUCGACCUACCCCAACGUCCACCCACCGUGCCCGAGCGUCGCAUCGAGCACCAAGAGCAGCCCCGGGGACACAACGACCGCCACCACUCCCCUUCCACCGUUGUCGCGCGACCACUACCGCCACAAGCCACCGAAGCACGAUUUCCCGCGCUUCACGAGCGACGCGCCACUGGCUCGACCUCUGUCGCACCUACUUCGACCUCUACCAAACGCCACCGGAGCAGUGGGUGA
This 477-nucleotide ribosomal RNA is filed under the name Triticum aestivum (bread wheat). RNAcentral's name for it is "partial small subunit ribosomal RNA". Lineage: Eukaryota; Viridiplantae; Streptophyta; Magnoliopsida; Poales; Poaceae. The record is from RNAcentral.